GGGGCAUUCCGAGAAUUGGGGACCUCUCGCACCCUAAGCGAGAAUCAUACCACUAGACCAAAUGCCC
RNAcentral lists this transfer RNA (67 nucleotides) under Cajanus cajan (pigeon pea). RNAcentral describes it as "tRNA gene-KK1_007984". The record is from RNAcentral. Lineage: Eukaryota; Viridiplantae; Streptophyta; Magnoliopsida; Fabales; Fabaceae.